RNAcentral lists this ribosomal RNA (301 nucleotides) under uncultured bacterium. RNAcentral describes it as "partial 16S ribosomal RNA". It matches the Rfam family "Bacterial small subunit ribosomal RNA", at positions 509 to 809 of the family's 1533-position model. The record is from RNAcentral.
CAGCAGCCGCGGGAAUACGGAGGGUGCAAGCGUUAUCCGGAUUUAUUGGGUUUAAAGGGUCCGUAGGCGGAUCUGUAAGUCAGUGGUGAAAUCUCACAGCUUAACUGUGAAACUGCCAUUGAUACUGCAGGUCUUGAGUAAAUUUGAAGUGGCUGGAAUAAGUAGUGUAGCGGUGAAAUGCAUAGAUAUUACUUAGAACACCAAUUGCGAAGGCAGGUCACUAAGAUUUAACUGACGCUGAUGGACGAAAGCGUGGGGAGCGAACAGGAUUAGAUACCCGUGUAGUCCCUGUCUCUUAUAA